CCUCUUCCCCUUAUAAAUUCCAAUAUCUGAGCUUAAAAUUCCACUCCAUCAUCAAAUUAGAAAAAGAAAGAAAUUUUGAGCUUGAAUUGUAUAGCUUAGAAGAACUUCCUUUCUUAUGUCCAUGGUGGGCAUAAGGACGGGGGUCAUUGACUUCAGAAGGAGCGUCCCCUUGUGGAGGAACCUAGAUCGAGUCCUCUUCUUCCCCAUCUUGCGUACAUUACGUGGAAUCCCAGAGUCGGAGCUCGGCAGAGGGAGUGAACUAAAGAAUUUCAGGAACAUGUUUAUCAUAUUUUAUCUCGAUGAGGGCUUAUCUGCAAAAAAUGUCAGUUUAAUUUUGUCUCUUGCACCUGCAUGAGGACGUUUACCAAUAACCCACUUCAUUCACCUCGGGAUCGACCUUAAUAUAAACCUACCAAUGAAAGCUCACCAUCUACCUGCAAGUUGGCUAUUUAAAGCUUGCCGUGUGACCGACCCAC
RNAcentral lists this long non-coding RNA (476 nucleotides) under Elaeis guineensis (African oil palm). RNAcentral describes it as "long non-coding RNA (EGUI_LNC025499)". Lineage: Eukaryota; Viridiplantae; Streptophyta; Magnoliopsida; Arecales; Arecaceae. The record is from RNAcentral.